RNAcentral lists this ribosomal RNA (2921 nucleotides) under Staphylococcus aureus FVRH6130. Its description in RNAcentral is "bacterial LSU rRNA". It matches the Rfam family "Bacterial large subunit ribosomal RNA". The record is from RNAcentral. Lineage: Bacteria; Bacillati; Bacillota; Bacilli; Caryophanales; Staphylococcaceae.
UUAAGUUAUUAAGGGCGCACGGUGGAUGCCUUGGCACUAGAAGCCGAUGAAGGACGUUACUAACGACGAUAUGCUUUGGGGAGCUGUAAGUAAGCUUUGAUCCAGAGAUUUCCGAAUGGGGAAACCCAGCAUGAGUUAUGUCAUGUUAUCGAUAUGUGAAUACAUAGCAUAUCAGAAGGCACACCCGGAGAACUGAAACAUCUUAGUACCCGGAGGAAGAAAAAGAAAAUUCGAUUCCCUUAGUAGCGGCGAGCGAAACGGGAAGAGCCCAAACCAACAAGCUUGCUUGUUGGGGUUGUAGGACACUCUAUACGGAGUUACAAAGGACGACAUUAGACGAAUCAUCUGGAAAGAUGAAUCAAAGAAGGUAAUAAUCCUGUAGUCGAAAAUGUUGUCUCUCUUGAGUGGAUUCUGAGUACGACGGAACACGUGAAAUUCCGUCGGAAUCUGGGAGGACCAUCUCCUAAGGCUAAAUACUCUCUAGUGACCGAUAGUGAACCAGUACCGUGAGGGAAAGGUGAAAAGCACCCCGGAAGGGGAGUGAAAUAGAACCUGAAACCGUGUGCUUACAAGUAGUCAGAGCCCGUUAAUGGGUGAUGGCGUGCCUUUUGUAGAAUGAACCGGCGAGUUACGAUUUGAUGCAAGGUUAAGCAGUAAAUGUGGAGCCGUAGCGAAAGCGAGUCUGAAUAGGGCGUUUAGUAUUUGGUCGUAGACCCGAAACCAGGUGAUCUACCCUUGGUCAGGUUGAAGUUCAGGUAACACUGAAUGGAGGACCGAACCGACUUACGUUGAAAAGUGAGCGGAUGAACUGAGGGUAGCGGAGAAAUUCCAAUCGAACCUGGAGAUAGCUGGUUCUCUCCGAAAUAGCUUUAGGGCUAGCCUCAAGUGAUGAUUAUUGGAGGUAGAGCACUGUUUGGACGAGGGGCCCCUCUCGGGUUACCGAAUUCAGACAAACUCCGAAUGCCAAUUAAUUUAACUUGGGAGUCAGAACAUGGGUGAUAAGGUCCGUGUUCGAAAGGGAAACAGCCCAGACCACCAGCUAAGGUCCCAAAAUAUAUGUUAAGUGGAAAAGGAUGUGGCGUUGCCCAGACAACUAGGAUGUUGGCUUAGAAGCAGCCAUCAUUUAAAGAGUGCGUAAUAGCUCACUAGUCGAGUGACACUGCGCCGAAAAUGUACCGGGGCUAAACAUAUUACCGAAGCUGUGGAUUGUCCUUUGGACAAUGGUAGGAGAGCGUUCUAAGGGCGUUGAAGCAUGAUCGUAAGGACAUGUGGAGCGCUUAGAAGUGAGAAUGCCGGUGUGAGUAGCGAAAGACGGGUGAGAAUCCCGUCCACCGAUUGACUAAGGUUUCCAGAGGAAGGCUCGUCCGCUCUGGGUUAGUCGGGUCCUAAGCUGAGGCCGACAGGCGUAGGCGAUGGAUAACAGGUUGAUAUUCCUGUACCACCUAUAAUCGUUUUAAUCGAUGGGGGGACGCAGUAGGAUAGGCGAAGCGUGCGAUUGGAUUGCACGUCUAAGCAGUAAGGCUGAGUAUUAGGCAAAUCCGGUACUCGUUAAGGCUGAGCUGUGAUGGGGAGAAGACAUUGAGUCUUCGAGUCGUUGAUUUCACACUGCCGAGAAAAGCCUCUAGAUAGAAAAUAGGUGCCCGUACCGCAAACCGACACAGGUAGUCAAGAUGAGAAUUCUAAGGUGAGCGAGCGAACUCUCGUUAAGGAACUCGGCAAAAUGACCCCGUAACUUCGGGAGAAGGGGUGCUCUUUAGGGUUAACGCCCAGAAGAGCCGCAGUGAAUAGGCCCAAGCGACUGUUUAUCAAAAACACAGGUCUCUGCUAAACCGUAAGGUGAUGUAUAGGGGCUGACGCCUGCCCGGUGCUGGAAGGUUAAGAGGAGUGGUUAGCUUCUGCGAAGCUACGAAUCGAAGCCCCAGUAAACGGCGGCCGUAACUAUAACGGUCCUAAGGUAGCGAAAUUCCUUGUCGGGUAAGUUCCGACCCGCACGAAAGGCGUAACGAUUUGGGCACUGUCUCAACGAGAGACUCGGUGAAAUCAUAGUACCUGUGAAGAUGCAGGUUACCCGCGACAGGACGGAAAGACCCCGUGGAGCUUUACUGUAGCCUGAUAUUGAAAUUCGGCACAGCUUGUACAGGAUAGGUAGGAGCCUUUGAAACGUGAGCGCUAGCUUACGUGGAGGCGCUGGUGGGAUACUACCCUAGCUGUGUUGGCUUUCUAACCCGCACCACUUAUCGUGGUGGGAGACAGUGUCAGGCGGGCAGUUUGACUGGGGCGGUCGCCUCCUAAAAGGUAACGGAGGCGCUCAAAGGUUCCCUCAGAAUGGUUGGAAAUCAUUCAUAGAGUGUAAAGGCAUAAGGGAGCUUGACUGCGAGACCUACAAGUCGAGCAGGGUCGAAAGACGGACUUAGUGAUCCGGUGGUUCCGCAUGGAAGGGCCAUCGCUCAACGGAUAAAAGCUACCCCGGGGAUAACAGGCUUAUCUCCCCCAAGAGUUCACAUCGACGGGGAGGUUUGGCACCUCGAUGUCGGCUCAUCGCAUCCUGGGGCUGUAGUCGGUCCCAAGGGUUGGGCUGUUCGCCCAUUAAAGCGGUACGCGAGCUGGGUUCAGAACGUCGUGAGACAGUUCGGUCCCUAUCCGUCGUGGGCGUAGGAAAUUUGAGAGGAGCUGUCCUUAGUACGAGAGGACCGGGAUGGACAUACCUCUGGUGUACCAGUUGUCGUGCCAACGGCAUAGCUGGGUAGCUAUGUGUGGACGGGAUAAGUGCUGAAAGCAUCUAAGCAUGAAGCCCCCCUCAAGAUGAGAUUUCCCAACUUCGGUUAUAAGAUCCCUCAAAGAUGAUGAGGUUAAUAGGUUCGAGGUGGAAGCAUGGUGACAUGUGGAGCUGACGAAUACUAAUCGAUCGAAGACUUAAUCAA